RNAcentral lists this ribosomal RNA (497 nucleotides) under uncultured bacterium. Its description in RNAcentral is "partial 16S ribosomal RNA". It matches the Rfam family "Bacterial small subunit ribosomal RNA", at positions 28 to 507 of the family's 1533-position model. The record is from RNAcentral.
GACGAACGCUGGCGGCGUGCCUAAUACAUGCAAGUUGAGCGCUGAAGGUUGGUACUUGUACCGACUGGAUGAGCAGCGAACGGGUGAGUAACGCGUGGGGAAUCUGCCUUUGAGCGGGGGACAACAUUUGGAAACGAAUGCUAAUACCGCAUAAAAACUUUAAACACAAGUUUUAAGUUUGAAAGAUGCAAUUGCAUCGCUCAAAGAUGAUCCCGCGUUGUAUUAGCUAGUUGGUGAGGUAAAGGCUCACCAAGGCGAUGAUACAUAGCCGACCUGAGAGGGUGAUCGGCCACAUUGGGACUGAGACACGGCCCAAACUCCUACGGGAGGCAGCAGUAGGGAAUCUUCGGCAAUGGACGAAAGUCUGACCGAGCAACGCCGCGUGAGUGAAGAAGGUUUUCGGAUCGUAAAACUCUGUUGGUAGAGAAGAACGUUGGUGAGAGUGGAAAGCUCAUCAGGUGACGGUAACUACCCAGAAAGGGACGGCUAACUACGUG